This 495-nucleotide ribosomal RNA is filed under the name uncultured bacterium. Its description in RNAcentral is "partial 16S ribosomal RNA". It matches the Rfam family "Bacterial small subunit ribosomal RNA", at positions 28 to 507 of the family's 1533-position model. The record is from RNAcentral.
GACGAACGCUGGCGGCGUGCCUAAUACAUGCAAGUAGAACGCUGAAGGAGGAGCUUGCUUCUCUGGAUGAGUUGCGAACGGGUGAGUAACGCGUAGGUAACCUGCCUGGUAGCGGGGGAUAACUAUUGGAAACGAUAGCUAAUACCGCAUAAUAGUAGAUGUUGCAUGACAUUUGCUUAAAAGGUGCAAUUGCAUCACUACCAGAUGGACCUGCGUUGUAUUAGCUAGUUGGUGGGGUAACGGCUCACCAAGGCGACGAUACAUAGCCGACCUGAGAGGGUGGUCGGCCACACUGGGACUGAGACACGGCCCAGACUCCUACGGGAGGCAGCAGUAGGGAAUCUUCGGCAAUGGACGGAAGUCUGACCGAGCAACGCCGCGUGAGUGAAGAAGGUUUUCGGAUCGUAAAGCUCUGUUGUAAGAGAAGAACGAGUGUGAGAGUGGAAAGUUCACACUGUGACGGUAUCUUGCCAGAAAGGGACGGCUAACUACGUG